UAGGGAAUCUUCGGCAAUGGACGAAAGUCUGACCGAGCAACGCCGCGUGAGUGAAGAAGGUUUUCGGAUCGUAAAACUCUGUUGUUAGAGAAGAACAAGGACGUUAGUAACUGAACGUCCCCUGACGGUAUCUAACCAGAAAGCCACGGCUAACUACGUGCCAGCAGCCGCGGUAAUACGUAGGUGGCAAGCGUUGUCCGGAUUUAUUGGGCGUAAAGCGAGCGCAGGCGGUUUCUUAAGUCUGAUGUGAAAGCCCCCGGCUCAACCGGGGAGGGUCAUUGGAAACUGGGAGACUUGAGUGCAGUAGAGGAGAGUGUAAUUCCAUGUGUAGCGGUGAAAUGCGUAGAUAUAUGGAGGAACACCAGUGGCGAAGGCGGCUCUCUGGUCUGUAACUGACGCUGAGGCUCGAAAGCGUGGGGAGCAAACAGG
This 429-nucleotide ribosomal RNA is filed under the name Gemmatimonadota bacterium. RNAcentral describes it as "Gemmatimonadetes bacterium partial 16S ribosomal RNA". It matches the Rfam family "Bacterial small subunit ribosomal RNA", at positions 355 to 776 of the family's 1533-position model. The record is from RNAcentral. Lineage: Bacteria; Pseudomonadati; Gemmatimonadota.